AACCUGCCGGUGGAUCAAUACUGAAUAUUAGCUUAUUGCUUUAUAUUUGGUGAUCAUCAACCCCCUGCCUUUAAAACGGUUAUAAUUGGCGUCUAUACGUACUGCUAACGCUCGCGGACCGUCGACGUGUAUUGAUCAGUAUGCAUAGCAUUCUUCAAUCUCGUAUGUAUACUUCAUUGUGUAUGUGUGGGUAUUGAUGGAUGUUAGACUUAAUGAAUAUCCGCUCCGGAUUUCGCCAAUAUCAUGUUUAUUGUAUCAAAAAACAAAGACUCAUUACUACUCCUAGUGGUGGAUCACUCGGCUCGCAGGUCGAUGAAGAACGCAGCUAGCUGCGAUAGUUGGUGCGAAUUGCAAACACAUUGAGCACUAAACUUUCGAACGCAUAUUGCGCCGUCGGUUUUUCCGUCGGCAGGUCUGUCUGAGGGUUACAAACAAGUACUUGCAAGGUAACGCUAGCAUGUUGCGUUAUUUUGUUUAGCGAGAAGCUCGGUGUGCUUGUGUGAUACGUGCUAGUGUAUCACACAUGUGUCGUCCUUCUCUGGUUUGUCAAUCUCAUUGAUAUACAAUCAUCUGAAUCACAAACACGUGCAAGUAGUGUUGGCUGGUGUUGGUUGAUGAUAUAAUAUCAUUUCGCAAUUGCAACCUCAGAUCAGUCCUGAUUACCCGCUGAACUUAAGCAUAUCAGUAAGCGGAGGAAAAGAAACUAACUAUGAUUCCUUUAGUAACAGCGAGUGAACGAGGAAGAGCCCAGCGCUGAAUCUUUCGGUCUAUGACCGCUAAGAAUUGUAGCGUAUAGGUGUGGCUUUCUACGGCCGAUGUAUACUCAAAGUCCCUUUGAUUGGGGCCACAGUCCUGAGAAGGUGCAAGACCUGUACGAGUUGCAUUGUGUUGUAGUCGGUUGCUCCUUGGAGUCGGGUUGCCUGAGAACGCAGCCUGAAUUGGGUGGUAAACUCCAUCUAAGGCUAAAUAGUACUGCGAGUCCGAUAGCAAACAAGUACCGUGAGGGAAAGUUGCAAAGAACUUUGAAGAGAGAGUUCAAGAGUGCGUGAAACCACUGGGAUGGAAACGGAUAGAGUUGACGAAUUGGGCGAUAUUCAGCUGUUUUGCGUGAGCAAAGUGGUGUACUUAUCGUCUGUGUGCGCUGAGAGUCUUGAUUGAACAUUCUAAACCGUCGUUUUUUGUUGCCCGUCGUCUCACGACGAUGGUGUCUUGGGCGUGCGGGAUGGGAUGUUUCGAUUAAGUAUUUUCGGUGUGAAAGUCGACCACCUAUCCGACCCGUCUUGAAACACGGACCAAGGAGUCUAGCGUAUGUGCGAGUCAUUGGGUGGUAAACCUAUUGGCGUAACGAAAGUAAAGGUCGUUUCUUGCGGCUGAUAUGGGAUCCGUACGGUUUCGAUCGUGCGGCGCACCAUAGCCCUGUCUCGAAGGCUUGCCUUGAGAUGGAGGUAGAGCGCAUGCGCUAGGACCCGAAAGAUGGUGAACUAUACGUGAGCAGGAUGAAGCCGGAGGAAACUCUGGUGGAAGUCCGUAACGGUUCUGACGUGCAAAUCGAUCGUCUGACUUGCGUAUAGGGGCG
This 1576-nucleotide ribosomal RNA is filed under the name Rhabdias cf. africanus VVT-2014. RNAcentral's name for it is "eukaryotic LSU rRNA". The stretch from base 640 to 1576 matches the Rfam family "Eukaryotic large subunit ribosomal RNA", at positions 1 to 925 of the family's 3401-position model. Lineage: Eukaryota; Metazoa; Nematoda; Chromadorea; Rhabditida; Rhabdiasidae. The record is from RNAcentral.